GCCGAGGGAGCCAGGACGGCAGUUCCCGGGAAGCCUCAACGCAGAAUGACGGUGCGAUCCAGGGACUCCGUGUCCAGGCCAAAAGGAUAUCAGGGAUGUCAUCCAGUGUGGAAUAUGGGGACCCAGCCUUGAAACAGAAUUGCCUUUUGAGACAGGCCUGAUGAAGUCUGUCCCUGCCAGGUCCCUGGUACCCUUCACCUCGGGCCCCCAUGCCUGUCACAUAUGUCAAAACUAAAGAGGAUUUUUCGCUGAGUGUGUCGGCUCCUUCCUUCACUUCCUGGAACUCACGUGAGGGGCACGUGUCAGCACCACGGAGGGAGCAACAGGAGAACGGCAGGGUGUGCCAGGAGAGGUGAAGAGAGCCAAGGCGGCCCCCCGUCAGGGAAGGCACUGCUGUGGGGACGUGCUUUGCUGAUUCGGAUAAUGCUCUGGACCUCGUCUAGGUCCCUCACGGACCCCUCAGGACACAAACACCUGUAUAUUUAGGGCCAGCAGCUUGUCUGGUCCACGAGGAAAAGCUAACUUCCAUCCACUGCAGCCCCUUUGAGACAGGAGGGAACCCCUGACCUUGAGAGGCUGGAGUGGAGAAUGAGGGUCUGGGCAACGGAUGCCACCUCUGGUUUUUCCCUUUGGGGUGGAAUUCACAUACCAUAAAAUUCACUCUUUUAAAGUA
Long non-coding RNA from Suricata suricatta (meerkat), 673 nucleotides. RefSeq lists it as uncharacterized. NCBI's taxonomy places the organism in Eukaryota, Metazoa, Chordata, Mammalia, Carnivora, Herpestidae. The transcript is spliced from 3 exons. The record is from RefSeq and is a predicted model, not a curated record.